AUCAAAUACUGUUGUACUGUAUUCAGUAUUUCAGCACUUUCAAAAGAUGGGACUGGGACAAGAGAUGCUUGAGUGUUUGUUCAUGUGGCAGGGUGGGAGGGGAGAUCUGAUAAUCUGCUGAAAAUCAUUCACAGGUUAUCAGAUCUUCACUUUCACCUACUGGGAAAAACAAACCUGUUAUGAUGUCAUCAGUCCUUACUGCUCCACUAAUGUUUAUGGAACCUGAAUUCAUCACAGUUUGAUGUCAAAGCUAAUUAAAAUUACUUCACCACUAGAUGCUAUGGAAACUAUAAACAUGAUAAUGGCUUCCUCCAUAUAAAAUUCCUAUUUGUUCCCCUCACAUUUCUUUAGAGAGCAACUAAGUAGUCAAUAUCAAGAUAAGGUUGUCAGAGUGAACCUAUAAGCACAGAUGGGUCAAACUCAGAGCCCAACUGCCUGCGAAGGCCAACCUGAGAAUAUAAAGGCAAAUUCUGCUUGCCUUCCAUUUUUCUCUAAUGCUCACCCUCUUGUGGGUUCAGAUGUGGUAGAGAAGGAAAAGACAGCUUAAACUCAAGAAACACAAAUGUAUUUGAGAACAACAGCAGGGUGACCUCAUUUGUUUCCACUGGUAGGUCAGGAUCUUCAGCUAGAUGGUACAGAAAAAAAACACCACAUUGGACCUUGCGAGCCCAGACAGCAGACCAUAAAAAAGGACAACAGAGAAACAACAAGAUCUACAGUAGAACUUCAGGCAGAACCAAAACUCCAGUUGAGGGGAUCAGCAUUGACCAUGAGUCAUCUGACACUAAAUCCAGAUAUCCAUCAUGAUUUCCACCCAGCAGGGCCAAAACUCAAGUCAAAGACAUCAGCAAUCUCCCUGAGUCGUCUCUAAACAGUUCUUUCACCCAACCUCCAAGCUCCAUGUCCUGCCGCUCACUGCCUUCCCUGCUUCACUCCAGAGAUCAGCAGAUUAGCCGAGAUGCAACUUCAACCUCAUCCAGCUCACGACCUCGCAGCUGCCCAUCAUGCUUCUCACUGUCAUCAAUGUGGAAGAGCAGAGAAAUAACCAGAUCUGCAAUAUCAGUUCCUCCUGACCAAACCAAAAAUCUAGUCGAGGAGACCAGCAUUCUCCAUAAGUUAUCUGAAACAUGUAUAACGUGCAAUAACACCCACUGUUUAAAUAGCGUAGUGGUUAAUGACACAGUCUGUCACAGGAAACCACAGAUCAAAUCCAAAAAGGGCAACAACAUUCAUUCCUUCUAAUUGCAGGAAGGAUACUAAAGGUAAUUUUGAGGUAAUUUAAACUCCAACUCCCAACAUGCUCCAAAUUCACCCAAAAGAGUCUUGUUUGUUCGUGCUCCAUUUGUGCUGUUUGUUCCAGUAAAAGUUUUGUUGCUGUUUUAUAUAUUAUACAUGACAUUUUUUGUGAUGACAUCACCAGCCCUCCAACAUGCUAUUAAUUGACUCAAAAUAGAUACUUUUAGUUUACUUUCAUAUCAAGUAUGGAAGUGAAUAGUUAAAGGUGCCCUAUGCAAAUUAAAUCCACCUAUAGGCAGUGAGCUGUAUAUCGGUUCUAUAACUCCAUUAGGAUCUGACAUUGUCAUUAUUAUCUACGAGCAUGCAGACCAGUUUGAAGCAGUAUCACCUCCAACCGUUGAUGCUGAAACAAUGAAGACAGAUUUAAGUUGCAAAUGGGUUUAAAGUUGAUGGGUCCUUUCCAUAACUAUGGAACACAGAAUUAAACAAAGUAAACAGCUAAACCAAUCAUAUGGCAUAUCUAUUGCAUUAGAUGCAUUGUCAUAUUUUAGAGACUCUAAAGUAACCUUUAAUUGCCAUUUUAACCUGUGUGUGUCACCUUGUGUUUCUGUAACAAGGCCAAACAUUGAAGGGUAUGUAAACUUUUGAUCAGGGCCAUUAUUUCUGUUAUCAUUAUGAUUUAAAAAGGAGCCAAACAUUUACGUGAUAAUAAUAGUUUUCCAAAUAUUAUCCAAAAGCUUGGAGAUUAUUGCAAUUAUGAAGUACAAAAUAAAAAGAAGUUGAUGUACCUCAGUAAAGAUUGAAGGGAUCUGGAGCCAUCAUGGAUUAUUAAACCUCUAAAUAAUUUGGGAUAUUGCUUCAGGUGUAAAUACAGAUGUUUAACAGGAUGUACUUAAAUUAUGACAUACUGUAUGAGCUUUUUGGCUUCCGUGGCAAUAAAAAUGACUACACCAAGGCAGGGUAGUCAGAACCAUAGACAUCUUAUUUAAAGGCUAGACGUCUCAAGGCGCAGUCACUUCCGGCAUCACCGGUGGCCAUCUUGUCACAGGCAGGCUUCCUGUCGGGCUCUGUGGUACCUAAUAUAAGGUUCAGCCAGGACCACUUGGAGC
This is a long non-coding RNA of Esox lucius (northern pike), 2345 nucleotides long. The record is from Ensembl. NCBI's taxonomy places the organism in Eukaryota, Metazoa, Chordata, Actinopteri, Esociformes, Esocidae.